GUAUAGUCCUCGAGAUUAUGUUCGUGAUGUUUAAGAUAUCUUGUUGGCGUUUAGACAAAUCUUAGAUUGUCGUUUGCCUAUUGGGACGAUUUUAUUGAGGCAUCCGAUUGCCUAAGUGUUUUCUGCCUAUUGCUGCAAGAAUUUACUUUGUCAAAAGCAUUUUUUUUAUGCCGAGGCAAAACGUUUUUUGAAGUAAGGGAGUAUGCGAGUAUAGUAUACGUACCUACUCCCUCCCUUUUUUUUUGAGGAAAAGAAUGACCGACAAUCUGGGUCGGUUUAAAGACGACACUAGGAUUGCGACUUGGUGGUUUUCAGGUUGGUAACUUGGAAUAUGUCGGUUUUUAAGAAAGUUGCUAGGAA
Molecule: long non-coding RNA, 360 nt
Filed under: Brassica napus (rape)
Lineage: Eukaryota; Viridiplantae; Streptophyta; Magnoliopsida; Brassicales; Brassicaceae
Description: long non-coding RNA (BNAP_LNC023551)
Source: RNAcentral